Sarcophilus harrisii (Tasmanian devil) is the source of this 114-nucleotide non-coding RNA. The record is from Rfam. Lineage: Eukaryota; Metazoa; Chordata; Mammalia; Dasyuromorphia; Dasyuridae.
GUGGGCUAUGGGGACAUGAGACCAGUGACGGUAGGGGGCAAGAUCGUUGGAUCUUUGUGUGCCAUUGCAGGUGUCCUCACCAUAGCUCUGCCUGUGCCCGUCAUUGUCUCCAAC